This 330-nucleotide ribosomal RNA is filed under the name uncultured bacterium. Its description in RNAcentral is "bacterial SSU rRNA". It matches the Rfam family "Bacterial small subunit ribosomal RNA", at positions 28 to 334 of the family's 1533-position model. The record is from RNAcentral.
GAUGAACGCUGGCGGCGUGCCUAACACAUGCAAGUCGAGCGAAGCACUUUGCUUGGAUUCUUCGGAUGAAGAGGAUUGUGACUGAGCGGCGACGGGUGAGUAACGCGUGGGUAACCUGCCUCAUACAGGGGGAUAACAGUUGGAAACGGCUGCUAAGACCGCAUAGGCGCGGACGGGACAUCCCGUCCACGUUAAACGUCCUUUAGGGGACGGCUGAAGGAUGGGCCUGUGGCGCAUUAGCUUGUUGGCGGGGCAACGGCCCACCAAGGCGACGAUGCGUAGCCGGCCUGAGAGGGCGGACGGCCACACUGGGACUGAGACACGGCCCAG